This 322-nucleotide long non-coding RNA is filed under the name Vigna radiata. RNAcentral's name for it is "long non-coding RNA (VRAD_LNC018337)". The record is from RNAcentral. Lineage: Eukaryota; Viridiplantae; Streptophyta; Magnoliopsida; Fabales; Fabaceae.
AAGGCCUUUAAAACAUAAAAUAAAACUUAUUAUUUUUUUAUUACUUCUUAAUUAGUUUUUAAGAUAACAUUAAAUGUUAUUAAAUAUUUAUAUAUUAGAAUUUAAAUUUAAGAGACAAUUUAAUAUUUCAAAAUGUAGGUUAUAAUAAUCAAUUAAAAUAGAAGAAUAAUAAUACGGUAGAAAAAAAAUUAAAAACAAAAAACAUAAAAAAAAAAAUAAAAAAAACUUCUUCUUUCUUCCACAUGUCUUUUGGAAAAAGAGACAGUCAAUGUUAGCACUUUUGACACACAUAUAGGCAAGAUAUUGUUCACUUUGAGUCAAG